AUUGAACGCUGGCGGCAGGCCUAACACAUGCAAGUCGAACGGUAACAGGAAGCAGCUUGCUGCUUUGCUGACGAGUGGCGGACGGGUGAGUAAUGUCUGGGAAACUGCCUGAUGGAGGGGGAUAACUACUGGAAACGGUAGCUAAUACCGCAUAACGUCGCAAGACCAAAGAGGGGGACCUUAGGGCCUCUUGCCAUCGGAUGUGCCCAGAUGGGAUUAGCUAGUAGGUGGGGUAACGGCUCACCUAGGCGACGAUACCUAGCUGGUCUGAGAGGAUGACCAGCCACACUGGAACUGAGACACGGUCCAGACUCCUACGGGAGGCAGCAGUGGGGAAUAUUGCACAAUGGGCGCAAGCCUGAUGCAGCCAUGCCGCGUGUAUGAAGAAGGCCUUCGGGUUGUAAAGUACUUUCAGCGGGGAGGAAGGGAGUAAAGUUAAUACCUUUGCUCAUUGACGUUACCCGCAGAAGAAGCACCGGCUAACUCCGUG
Molecule: ribosomal RNA, 490 nt
Filed under: uncultured bacterium
Lineage: Bacteria
Description: partial 16S ribosomal RNA
Rfam family: Bacterial small subunit ribosomal RNA
Source: RNAcentral